Molecule: transfer RNA, 66 nt
Filed under: Planctomycetaceae bacterium
Lineage: Bacteria; Pseudomonadati; Planctomycetota; Planctomycetia; Planctomycetales; Planctomycetaceae
Description: tRNA-Cys
Rfam family: tRNA
About the family: Transfer RNA (tRNA) molecules are approximately 80 nucleotides in length. Their secondary structure includes four short double-helical elements and three loops (D, anti-codon, and T loops). Further hydrogen bonds mediate the characteristic L-shaped molecular structure. tRNAs have two regions of fundamental functional importance: the anti-codon, which is responsible for specific mRNA codon recognition, and the 3' end, to which the tRNAs corresponding amino acid is attached (by aminoacyl-tRNA synthetases). tRNAs cope with the degeneracy of the genetic code in two manners: having more than one tRNA (with a specific anti-codon) for a particular amino acid; and 'wobble' base-pairing, i.e. permitting non-standard base-pairing at the 3rd anti-codon position.
Source: RNAcentral
GGCGCCCAACGGCGAGGCGGCUGCCUGCAAAGCAGCUUGGAGCGGGUUCGACUCCCGCCGGCGUCU